UCGGGGGUGCAGGGCGGGACCCCCGACGGGGGGUGCGCCCCCAAGUUAGCGCCGUGGGCCGAGCCGGAGGAGCCCCGCUGCCCCCAAGGGCCUGGCCCGGGGCGCGGACCAGGAAGUCGCGCGGUUCCUGGCGCUCGUGGAAAGUGGAGGCCGCCCUCCCGGCGCAGUCAACAGAGAAGGUGUUCGCCAGCCUCCCGCAGGUGGAGAGGGGCGUCUCCAAGAUCAUCGGCGGCGACCCUAAGGGCAACAAUUUUCUGUACACCAAUGGAAAGUGCGUCAUCCUAAGGAACAUCGACAACCCAGCCCUUGCUGACAUCUACACAGAGCACGCCCAUCAGGUGGUGGUGGCCAAGUAUGCGCCCAGCGGAUUCUACAUUGCCUCCGGAGAUGUGUCUGGGAAGCUGAGGAUCUGGGAUACCACGCAGAAGGAGCACCUGUUGAAGUAUGAGUACCAGCCUUUCGCUGGGAAGAUCAAAGACAUUGCUUGGACUGAAGACAGUAAGAGGAUCGCCGUGGUCGGGGAAGGAAGGGAGAAGUUUGGAGCAGUCUUCCUGUGGGAUAGUGGCUCUUCUGUGGGCGAGAUUACAGGACACAACAAAGUCAUCAACAGCGUGGACAUCAAGCAGAGCCGGCCAUACCGGCUGGCCACGGGAAGCGAUGAUAACUGCGCGGCAUUCUUUGAGGGACCCCCAUUCAAGUUCAAAUUCACAAUUGG
RNAcentral lists this small RNA (715 nucleotides) under Pan troglodytes (chimpanzee). RNAcentral describes it as "processed transcript". Lineage: Eukaryota; Metazoa; Chordata; Mammalia; Primates; Hominidae. The record is from RNAcentral.